Long non-coding RNA from Acipenser ruthenus (sterlet), 3635 nucleotides. RefSeq lists it as uncharacterized. The transcript has 3 exons. The record is from RefSeq and is a predicted model, not a curated record. NCBI's taxonomy places the organism in Eukaryota, Metazoa, Chordata, Actinopteri, Acipenseriformes, Acipenseridae.
UUAUUAUUAUUUGUUUAUUUAGCAGACGCCUUUAUCCAAGGCGACUUACAGAGGCUAGGGUGUGUGAACUAUGUAUCAGCUGCAGUGUCACUUACAACUACGUCUCACCCGAAAGACGGAGCACAAGGAGGUUAAGUGACUUGCUCAGGGUCACACAAUGAGUCAGUGGCUGAGGUGGGAUUUGAACCAGGAACCUCUUGGUUACAAGCCCUUUUCUUUAACCACUGGACCACACAGCCUCCUACAGCCUCUCAGCCUCCUACAGCCUCUCCUAUGAAGACUAAUUAUGCGUAAAGGUAAUUCUGUUUAAAACAAUUAAGGACAAAUUUAAAGGUUUUAUUGAAGUAUACUGGUAAUUCUGUAAUGAUUAGGAGUGAAGCCAGAUGUGGCUUUAUUCUGGGGUUUUUGCAUAAAGUAGUAGUAAGUUUUAAAUGACACAUCAGCAUCAGAGACAAUAUGAAUCACGGAUUGAAAAAUGAAAAAUGAGGAACGUAACAUUUCAGGCAUGGAUGUUAUGGGAACAAGAGGCUACACAAUCGAUCCCAGAGCUAGAAUGAGCUACAAAGAUUUCAACUCUGCAGCAACAGAGUGAGUCGGGUGCAUCAGCUGAAAGACAGAAGCAGCAUCAGAGCAACAAGUACACAUGAUGUGGUUUAGAAUAUACGAGUUGGUGUCAGAUCCCUUGGUACAUUAGGAUAUAAUAUGUUUUAUAUUUAUCACAAUUAAUGUUUUACGGAGCUUCUUGUGAGUUUGCUUUUUCAGCCGGUCAAACGCAGUAUUUGCAUACACAGGAGAGGUGAUGAUAACUAGAUUAAUAUGAUGAUUGAACCAUAAAUAAGAUUGGAAAUGAAAUAGGAGUGUUGGUGCAAGGGAUUGACAGGGUAGUAUAGAACAGACGCUGAGUUAAUGGCAGUACCAGGGUGGUAAGCCAAAGGGUCGCCAAAGUGGGGCUAAGCAAUGCUCUAAUUGUGGUCAUAGAGGAUAUUCAAAAGGAACUUGCUGGGCUGAGGGAGGCGAUGCUGAGGGAAAUAGACCCCAGCAGCAGUGUGAAAUGCUAGUGGAUACUGCAGCCAUUUCCACUAACUUGGAAAUGUAACUGGAUUAAUUAAAGAAACUGCUGUGUCUUGAGGAAGGGCCCCUUUCUUGCAAACAUACUGAACUAUGUGACCUACUGAACUAGGUGACUGGGGCAAGGUGGCGCCUGGACUGGAUUAGGCUGAAAGGACAGGAGUUAUGGACAGAUAAUUCACACUUGCAACAACAAGCAUUUUGAUGCAAUAAAGACAUAAACUAGUGAUGUCCCAGUGGAAAAGGACAUUAAAACAUCAAAGGACUGGGAGUUUAAAGAGGCAAGAUACACAAAUUAUCUCACGAAAGUGGAUACUUAACAGAGUGAAAAGACUAUAAAUAUCCAAGCAAAACUACACAUUUUGCACUCCACAUCGAAUGCUAAACAAGGUGCUGUCACUCUACGAAGUGAAGCUGCAACUCCGGGACUCUGCCUGAAAACAGACUCAAGACAGGACUCUGCCUAAAAACAGACCCAAGAGGAGAAAGCAAGCUGCAAGCGAGUCAACGAACACAAGCAAUGAGACUGAGGCCUGGCUGGAGAACUGCCGAAAAACUUACAGAGACUUUUAUAAGACAAACAAGUCUGGGUCUGCUGUAUUUCUAAGUCACAGUAUCCAAAAAGAAACUGUGCCCUGCUACCUGCAUAGCUAAAGAUUCAGCAAAGAGGACAGAGCGGGUGGGCACUGUUGUGGAUCAUAUUUGAGGAUUGAAGACAUUGUUGCAGCUGUUUGUUGAUUCUAUCGAGAAUUGAAACUUUGUUGCCGAGUUUAAUCCGAUUUGAGGAUUGAAGAGUGUUGCUGAGUGGAGAGCCUUUUGUACUGGACACUUCAACAGAUUGAUUUUCCAAACCAAAAGUCUAAGCUUCAAGGAACCGUUGAGUAUAAUUCCAGUUGCAUUUUCCUUUCAUGGAACUAAAUUAAUGAAUUGUAACAUAUUCACAUAGAAUUUAACUAUUAAUUAUUUAGUUUGCACACUUUGAGUGUAAAAUAACUUUUAGUGAAACUUGAUCAAGUAACUAUGAGUAAUCUACCUCAUAUUGUUAUAUGAAGAAUUUCUUUAAAAAGCAAACUUUGCUAUAUUCUGAAUCUAUAUACCAUUAAUGAGCUUAAUGUGAUAUAUUGGAUGUGUAUGUGUGAGCAAGCUACUAGCUACAUGUGACAGAGAAUUAAUCCAAGUCAACAAUUUCCCUCCUGACCUGUGAGGGCGCUGUAUAACAGGAGGAGUGUGCCCUGGACUGGAUGGUUUGGCAGUUCAUUCCAGGGUCAGUCAGAAGUCGGCCAUCCAGAAAGGGGGCGGAGUCACAAUACCAGAAAUCAUCGUCUUAAUGCGGUCGGCGAUGUGUCAGUCAUGGAUUGGAGGAUACGUGAUUGCACUCACUACCAAAGGGGGCGUGACUGAAGGUAUAUCAGGGGAUGUGGCUGAGCGGUCCUUUGUUAUGGUUGUGAAAGACCUGUAAAGGAUGGUAAAAGCUGAAAGUAACUGUGAGUUUUUGUCAUGUUGUAUCUGUCUUUCUAUUAAUUGUCACCCUUACCCGGACUGCACUGCAGUACUGUUUCACUGUUACUGAAUUUUUUUUGAUUAGCUUUACAAUCCGCCACAAUCCGGCCUCCCUGGAAGCCGCAAUCCGACUGGUGGAGGACUUCGAGGACUCCUUGCUCUCCUCUUCGACCAGCCAACUGACCGCUACCUCCCCACCAAGCAGCAGGGGACUGGUUCCACCUCCACCUUUUUUCCUCAUCGCGCUGACGUCCAGACGUCCCAGAUCACCGACCCCAAUGGGCAGCCUAACCUCCUUACCAUGGAGGCGACAGCUGACCCACAGCUGGGGUAGAUUCAAUGCCCCUGACACGCUGCCUUAUCAGCAGAGGGACAGAUAUGUAACCCCAGUGCCUUCUGCCCCUCCUAUCUAUUCCAGGUGCCAUCCCACAGGACGUACCGCCUGGCUGUGCUCCCCAGCAAUAAAGUGCAAUGUGGCAGCAUGUUACCUGACAUCAGAAGCAGGCAAGAGAUGGGGAAAUGGUCGGGAGGAGCCUUGUAUCAUAGAUGUGGUUGUCGGUAAAAAAAACAAAGAAAGCAAGACGGAUUGAAAAAUGUGAAAGUGCAUCAAUGAGACGAAGUUGGGGUCUGGUGGGAGAAAGCUCGGAUGGUAUCAAACACUAAUCACUAAUCACUAAUUGGUACGGAGUGUGACCGAGAGGGCGAGGUUACUGGGCCAUCCAUGCAGAUGUUAUUCCGGCCCCUCUCAAUAUACCGGACAUGUGGGACCGAAGCACGGACCUGGUGUGGGACCAACACAACGACUCCACACUGGUGGACACUUGGGAACAGACUAGAUGGCUAACACAAUCCGGAGCUGUCGCUUAUGGCCAGCACUAAACCCGGACAACACAGCACUAUUGUUCAGGAAUAAAUUGUACUUCACCACAAUCACUGCAGCACUUUGGAUGUGACCAUGUUUGUGUUACUGGAUUAUUGUUUAUUAUUUACAGGACAGCAACCCAUCAUUAUUCACUGCGCAGUACGCAUUGCUAUGUAUUGCCAGCCCUCCUUUUGGUCAUCAGACC